GUCCACGCCGUAAAACGAUGAGUGCUAGAUGCUGUGGGUAUUGACCCCGCGGUGUCGCAGCCAACGCGUUAAGCACUCCGCCUGGGGAGUACGGCCGCAAAGGCUAAAAACUCAAAGGAAUUGACGGGGGCCCCGCACAAGCGGUGGAGCAUGUGGUUCAAUUCGACGCAACGCGCAGAACCUUACCUGGGUUAAAUCCACCAGAACCUUGCAGAGAUGUAGGGGUGCCCUUCGGGGAACUGGUGAGAAGGUGCUGCAUGGCUGUCGU
RNAcentral lists this ribosomal RNA (268 nucleotides) under uncultured bacterium. RNAcentral's name for it is "partial 16S ribosomal RNA". It matches the Rfam family "Bacterial small subunit ribosomal RNA", at positions 793 to 1055 of the family's 1533-position model. The record is from RNAcentral.